Vespula vulgaris is the source of this 3007-nucleotide long non-coding RNA. RefSeq lists it as uncharacterized. The record is from RefSeq and is a predicted model, not a curated record. The transcript has 2 exons. Lineage: Eukaryota; Metazoa; Arthropoda; Insecta; Hymenoptera; Vespidae.
CAAGUACUUUUACAGCCAUUUUUAUUUGCCUUUUGUUGUUACAAUUUCGGUUCUUGUAAAACGUCAAGAUUUUGUACUAUAUUUAUACAUUUACAGUUUCUUAGUUUACAUAUAACAAAGUCAAGGGUUACCAUUACAUUUGAUUACUAUUACGAUUACGUUGCAAUUACAACAACGAUUACGACAUCAAUCAUGAUUACUAGUACGACUAUGACUACGAUCAACACGAUCACGAUCAAGACUACGACUACGACUACGAUCACGAUAACGACCACGAUUCUGAUUCAGAUUCUGACAACGAUUAAGAUUAAGAUUAAGAUUAAGAUUAAUAUUAAGAUAAAGAUUCUGAUUGCGACUACGACUACGACUACGACUACGACUACAACUACGAUCACGAUCAGGAUUAUUGUCACGAUUAUUGUCACGAUUAUUAUCACAAUUACAAACACAAUUACGAUUGUAUAAAUUGUGAUAUCAACAUAUAUAAAUUAUAAUACCAAAAAGUAAAUGUCAUAACGUAAAAUUGUAAGAACAACUGUAAAAAAUUAGACAUUCAUAUUUACUCCAAGUAUAUUAUAAUCGUGUCAAGAAUAUUAACUAGAGCUAUUGCUCCUGCAACCAACGAACUGUUAUGUGCUCCAAAUUGAACUAUAUCUAGAGGAUUACUUAUUUUAAAAGCAGUUAUCUUUAGCAAUGGAUUCCUGCUAUGUAUAAUCUUUUUUUCCAUGGAUAAUUUCAUUUUCUCUUCAAUAUAUACUAAAAUCUCCUGUUCCAGAGAAGUUACUCUUACGAUGUCAUAUUUCUCUAUAUCCAUAAAACUUCUCUUAAAGCCUUUGACAGUAUUAAAUAUUUCAAUUAAUUUUUCCUCGCUACCAUUACAAACAGUAUUGUAAACGUACUGUUUGAAUAACAAAUGACGAUUUUGUAAUUCAAUAACAUCCUUUGGAAGUAUUGGUCCUAGGUAACUCUUGAUAUUUGGAUCUAGAAAUUUUUUCUUCUUAUUCGCUUGAGAUUCGGUUUCGUUAAGUUUACAAUUAUCUACUUUUAAACUUAACUCGUUAAGAACAUCUUUGUCUAUUCCAGACAAAUCGUCACAGUCUUUAAAAGGAUUAGAAGAUCCGCAUUCAUCUUUGUUUGCAACUGACGGAUCAUUAGUAUUCGUGAGACGUUCUAGUAUCUUUUUUGCUACACUUUGUUUGACUUGCUUUUUUCUAGUUCCUGUUGCUUCUUCAGUUAUUGACCCUACUGUACAGGACAUAGUAAACACUUUUUCGUGUGCUGGGCCAGUUAUAUUAGUAGUUUGAUACUCUGCCUGCAUUAAUUUAUUUUCUAAACAGUAUUGCUAAAAAACCAGAAAACUUUCUUACGAUCAUGUUAUAGACAAAAAGUAUUUACAAAAAAUAUAUAGUAAACUCUAAAGAGAAUGAUGAUGAAAGUAUAUAUAUUCUAUUAGAUAUGUAUUUUUAUAUAUAUAUAUAUAUAUAUGUAUAUAUAUUCACAGAAUUAAAUAGAGAAAAAAUAAUAAUUUAAAUGAGUCAUACUUGUAAAGAUCCAACAUAAUUUCUAAGGUCUUCAUCCAUUAAUGUUGAAUCUAGCAAAGCUGGUACUGAUGAAGUAUCAGGAUAAAUGUCGUUUGAAGAUGAUAGUGGUUUUGUCUUAGAAAUGUCAUUUGGGUCUUCCAACAAUAUUAACAUAUUCUGAGCUGCUUUCUGCUUCGCAUCUUUUUUAUUCAGAGCUUGUCCAAUUGCUGAGAACUCUUUAUAUUGUACUUUAAAAGUAAAUAUAUUUAUUUGCUUACCAGUUUGUGAACGAAGCAAUGUGUAAACUGGUAAGAAGCCCUCUUUCAUUCCUAACUCUUGUAAAAUCAUUAUUGCUGUUUUACCCAUUUUACUGAAUAAAAAUAAUUGAAUGAGAUGAUAUCGAAAUUGAGAAAUGUAACUUUUUCUUGAACGUUUUAACGUUUUUAAGAACUAAUGAGAACUUAAAAUUUUUUUUCCUAUACGAUGCAGUACACGCCCUUAACAAGAGAAGAUGACUGACAAGUAUUGUACGUUGGGCGUUGUGCUGAUCACUUCUAACAAAGGGCCAUAGGUAUGGUCUACCUGGGAAAAAAGUUACCAGCAGAUCUCUCUACUGCGCAUUGCUCAAUCGAUUUUUCAUGUACCUAUAUACAUAUGAAGUGAAAUAUUAUUAUUAUUAUUUUAUAUUACAUGAAAACAUAAUAUUAAUAAAAAAUUAAGUGCAUAUGUAUAUAUAUAUGUGUGCGUGUGUGUAAGCAUAUAUAUAUACAUAUAUAUAUAUAUAUAUAUAUAUACAUACGCAUAUAUAAUAUAUAUACAUAUAUAAACAUAUAUACAUGUAUAUAUAUUAUAUACCGCAUUACAUAGGACAAGAUUCAACAUCAUGGGACAAAAGAACAAGACUUCUCGAUGUUACUCGCUAAAUAUUUUCCAUUUCAUUUUUUUCCUCACUUAUUGUCGUCCACUGAUUGUUGGUUAUUUUCGUUUGUCUUUAAAUACUAGCGUAUAUAUGAGUAAAAUGUGCUGACGUAAUAAGUCCCUUUAAAAGGCAUACAUGGAAGGAGAAAUUCAGCAAGAUCGUGGAAAUACAAUUACUAUUGAACUUAGAAAAUACGUGGAAUUAUGGGUAUAUUUAGGUCAAUUUUCUUGAAAUAUUAUAUACACGAAAGCUUUCUUUAUUCGAAUUGAUAAUAUUUCUGCUUGUAAUACGUUAUAUAAUUACAUGCUAAAUUAUUUUUAAAAUUCGAUCGGUUGAACAGAGGAGAGUAUACAAAUAUGUACGCAGUCAAAAAUUUUCAUUGUACGGUAUAGAUUAUUUUUAUUUAUAUCAAUUAUUGUAUAAACACAACCAUAAGAAGUACAAUAUCAUGUGGAAUAUUACGGGUAGACAACAAUAAUAGAAUAUAUAUAUUUUCAUCACAACUUAGUUAAUUUUGUAAUAUUUUAUAUUGUAUGUUAUCAAAAAUAAAAAAAAAAUUAUACAAAGA